Molecule: microRNA precursor, 195 nt
Filed under: Oryza glumipatula
Lineage: Eukaryota; Viridiplantae; Streptophyta; Magnoliopsida; Poales; Poaceae
Description: MIR812 microRNA precursor family
Rfam family: MIR812 microRNA precursor family
Source: Rfam by way of RNAcentral
AAUAAGUGCAGCCGUGAAUAUCUGUGUCCAACGUUUGACCGUUCGUCUUAUUUAAAAAAAUUUAAAAAAUAGUCACACAUAAAGUACUAUUAAUGUUUUAUCAUCUAAUAGCAAUAAAAAUAUUAAUCAUAAAAAAUUUUCAAAUAAGACGAACGGUCAAAUGUUGAACGUGAAUAGUGCAAAACUGCACUUAUU